UUGGGGUGGUCUUGUUUUUGUUUGUUUUUUUUUUUUUUUGUUUGCAGCUCUCUGUUAGUUUUGCAUAGUUGCACUACAAGAAGAAUGUAGUUGUGCAAAUCUAUGCAAAACUGACGGUGGCCUGCUAUUUCCUACAUCGA
Molecule: microRNA precursor, 140 nt
Filed under: Ornithorhynchus anatinus (platypus)
Lineage: Eukaryota; Metazoa; Chordata; Mammalia; Monotremata; Ornithorhynchidae
Description: microRNA oan-mir-19a precursor
Gene: oan-mir-19a
Rfam family: mir-19 microRNA precursor family (bases 47-122)
About the family: The hairpin precursors (represented here) are predicted based on base pairing and cross-species conservation -- their extents are not known.
Source: miRBase by way of RNAcentral